Molecule: long non-coding RNA, 20983 nt
Filed under: Solanum tuberosum (potato)
Lineage: Eukaryota; Viridiplantae; Streptophyta; Magnoliopsida; Solanales; Solanaceae
Description: long non-coding RNA (STUB_LNC011106)
Source: RNAcentral
GAUUCCCCAUACUGUAAUCCUCUACCCCAAUUUUUUUCAUUACCUUCCUCACAUAUGUAUAAGACCGAAUCCAAAGAACUAAGAUGAGAGAAUUUUGGGAGAGCCGCCACUCCAACUACUGCCAUGUAUUAUCCAUACUAGAUCUGACCAUCUGUCCAUCCUACCCUCCUCUACGUUCUUGACAACCCAUUUUUGUCUUAGUCAAGUCUUUUAGUGGCACAUUUUGACCUUCUUUUCCAUUACUUAGAAAAAGUGAGCUAUUAUUCAGAUACAAAAUACUAUCAUUAUCGCCUAGAAAAUUAGACAUUCAACCCGUAAUCACAAUGAUCCAAUUACAAAAGCUCUGAACCCCCUAGGUCUAGACUGGCUCUGGCCCCUGGUUUUAUCACUUGACCUUCACAUGAGUAAACUCGUUGAUAUAGAGGAUUACAGUAUCGAUUUCUUUAAAAGAAAAAAACCUUAAUUUAUAAAAGUUCAAAAGAUUUUAAUUCAAUGUUUGUAAGUAAAAAAACAUAUUUCAUAAAACGGUUGCAAAUCACAUCGAAUAAGUUCCAUUGAUUGGUGUAUGGUUCUCAUAAGGGAAGUAACAGCAGCAUAAGCCAUAUAUCCAAAAAAUAGGACUAUCUCUCACUCUCAGUAUGAAAAUGGACAAAUUAAUUGCCACAAGUUAUGAAAAUGGCUAGUCCUCAGAACACCUUAACUACUUGCUGCAGAAUAAAAAAAAGACGCAAAAAAUGGAAAAUAAUAUGUUAGAUGUCCCAUAAUUAAGGAACAAGAGAACAUUAUAGUAAGAAUGAGCAUGCAGGUAUAAGAACUUACUCAUUAUUGCGGCAAGAAGCAACUUCUUUCUCAAAGUCAUCAUCAUCAUCAUCUUCAUCUGUUGUUACAGUAUCAAAUACCAAUUUCUCGAGCUGAUAUAAGUAGCGAAAAUCAUACAGGUCCUUGUGAUUGCGAAAGUCCUCUGGGACGCCAAAUACUUUCAACUUCUUUAAAUUGGGAAAUAGUCUAAAAAAAGACCCUGUACAAUACCAAGGAUUCAAUUGAUUGAGGCAUUGCAAACUUUUCAAAACCAAUCUGUUCUCUGUAGGCUCAUGACUCUGCAAGUAAUUCCAGCCCAUACACAGCUUCCUCAAUUGUGGCAUUGUCAAAAUUUCCGAUGGUAAUAUGAAAGGAUAAGCACAAUCACGAAACGGAAAGUUAAACUUAAAAGUUUGUAGAUAGCAUAGGCUUGAUAUCGAUAGAGGAAUGUCUAUUAUUGAUGAGGGAACAGCUUUUAACGAUCCUCGAUACUGCUUUAAGCAAGGAUAAAAACACAAAGAUAGGUAUCUCAAAUGAAUUAGAGAAAGUACUCCACUGGGAAAAAUUGGGUAUAUAUUCAAACCAAGAUCUAGUACUCUUACUAGCUUGAAAGACAAUUCCAGUGUGAAGCAUUUCAAUCCACCCAACAUGAUAAUAGAAUGAGCCUCACUGUUACGACACCAAGCCAAUUCUUCCUUCUUAUAGAUACUGAUCCGACUUCGACUCUUAAAGGAACACUGCAUGGAUUGUGCACAUGAAUUUUGAUCACUCUUUCCUCUGAUAACAUUCACAAAAUUCAUGUUUCGAGCUUCCCUCAAACAGAGUUCACGGAUCACAUCAUGCAUUCCACAUCUCUCUAUUUCCCCAUCAAAACUCAAAUUGUGGAUAGAAAUUAGACUUCUAUCUACAAGUUCGUUUAUACAUGUUUCUGCCACCUCUUCUAUGCUUUUUCCUUCUUCUUCAUUCAAAAACCCCUCUACGGCCCAUAACUCAACAAGUGCAUUUACAUAAAUCCGUUCAUCCUCUGCGAAAAUUGCAAAAUACAGAAAACACGGUUUUAGGUGAGAAGGCAAGUGAUGGUAACUCAAAGCCAACACUCUCAUGCAUUUUGCUUCAAGAUCUCUGCUUACCACCGAACUUACAUUCUCCGCAACAUUUUGCCACUCAUCCAAUGUUUUACUGAUUUUGGAGAGAAGUCCAGCAAUCAAAGUAAUUUCUAGAGGUAACCCUCCACAUUUUAAUGCAAUUUGUUUCCCAAUAUUUUCAAAUUCAGGAGAAUAAGAACCUUCUUUUUCAAAGAUCUUUUUGUGUAGUAAAUUCCAACUUUCGUCAAAAUUCAUGAGGCGCAUNNNNNNNNNNNNNNNNNNNNNNNNNNNNNNNNNNNNNNNNNNNNNNNNNNNNNNNNNNNNNNNNNNNNNNNNNNNNNNNNNNNNNNNNNNNNNNNNNNNNNNNNNNNNNNNNNNNNNNNNNNNNNNNNNNNNNNNNNNNNNNNNNNNNNNNNNNNNNNNNNNNNNNNNNNNNNNNNNNNNNNNNNNNNNNNNNNNNNNNNNNNNNNNNNNNNNNNNNNNNNNNNNNNNNNNNNNNNNNNNNNNNNNNNNNNNNNNNNNNNNNNNNNNNNNNNNNNNNNNNNNNNNNNNNNNNNNNNNNNNNNNNNNNNNNNNNNNNNNNNNNNNNNCAUGUUCAGGUAAACUGACAAGUGAGCUAGUUUGUGGUUUUAGAUCUUUCAUGCUGUCCGAUGCUGCCAUCCACUGUUUCACGGUGGAAUCAAUGUAUUCUAGUGCUUGUUCCAAGACGAAAAAAAUCUCCCACAUAGCCCUGCUUCUUUCCUCCAAAUUCUGUGCUAAAAAAACAUUUCUUGAUUCCGAGUCAACCAUAUCUUCUGUUGUGUAUGCUACCUCUGCGAUUUCAACUUCCAAGAUUGUUAACCCCUCAUGAUCGCCCAUUAUAUUGCAGGAUUUCUCCAGAAUAGCUCUCAAAGAUUUGAGCUUUUCAUAAAACGGUUGCAAAUCACAUCCAGUAAGUUCCAUUGAUUGAUGUAUGGUUCUCAUAAGGGAAGUAACAGCAGCAUAAGCCAUAUAUCCAAAAAAUAGAAAUAUCUCUCAGUAUGAAAAUGGACAAAUUGCCACAAGUUAUGUAAUUUUUCAGUUUUUAAGAAAACAGAAAAUGCAAAGUUCUUUCUUUUACUAGCUAUUUCCAUCACAUUUCCAGCUAGGUCCACCAACCUUAUCAUCAUGUAGACAAAAGCAGAGACCAAAGUUAAAAAAAAGUAGAAAAAUUUGUGAUCAUUCAUUAUUAGACCGUACACAUAUCUAUUCAUGAAUAUAAGUAUGCUUCUUACAUACAAGAGAUUGAUGAUUUUAAUUACAUUGAAAGCAACUUAGUAGAAUUUUCCAAAUCAAAGAGAGAAAUAUUAAGAUCCAAGUAGGAAUUUCUCUAUUCCUAGUUCGAUUCAAUUAACCAAGCAUAAAUAUCUCUUAAUAUACAUGAGAAGUUUAGACUCUAAAAGUCAAAUCAACAAAAUAUUUAUGGGCUAACACAUGAAAAACUAUUGAGAAAAUCGCCUAAUUUCUGUAAAUUGGCCCUUAAAUCUCCAAAAUGAACUCUAAAAAUUGUCAGACUGUACGUAUUGCUCCCCAACUCCCUACUGAGGGUUCUGUAAAGAUUUCGAUUAGAAUUCGUCCGUAAGUCAUAUCACCAAUAUAUUAAUGACUAACACACACGAAAAACUGAGAAAAUUGUCUAAUUUCUUGAAAUUGGCCCCUAAAUGCCUAAAAUGGACUCUAAAAGUUGUGAGACUGUACGUACUGCUCCCCCGACUCCCUACAGAGGGUUUCGUAAAUGUGUAGCAAAGAAAUCGUCUGGAAGUCAUAUCACUAUAAUAUUAAUGGGCUAACACACACAAACCACUGAGAAAGUCGCGUAUUCCUGUAAAUUGGCCCCUAAAUGCCCAAAAUGAACUCUAAAAUUGUGAGACUAUGUACUGCUCCACUAACUCCCUAUGGAGGGUUCCGUAAAGAUUUCACAAAGAAAUUAUUCGGAAGACAUAUCACCAAAAUAUUUAUGGGCUAAUACAUUUUUAUUUGUCCAUUUGAUUUGACAUAUCUUUCAAGUACUUUGAUCUGGUUAUACUUUUUUUUUAUUGCUAAAAAUAAAUAUCCACUUUUACUUGUUCAUUCUACAAAACAAAGACAAUAUUUUAUUGCUUGAUUCAGAUAUAAAAUUUGAGUAGGCUAAUUUACAAACCAUCUGUAGUCAUCCUGCCCCUAUGCUAUAACAUUUGAAAGAAAGAGGUCAUCAUCAUCAUAUUCAUCAUCGUUGUCAUCUUCAUCAUCAUCUUCAUCAUCGUUGUCAUCUUCAUCAUCAUCUUCAUCUUCUUCAUCAUUAUCAUCAUCAUCAUCAUGAUCGUCAUCGUCACUUGUUUCCUCACUGUUGAAAAAGCCAGCAACAAAAGAUGAAAAAUGAAAUGUUAUGCAAGUAUAACAAGUUACACAAUUACUAUAUUGGAAGGAUUUAAAUCAUAUACAAUGACAACGUAUGAACUUUUACACUAUAGGUGCCAUUUAACUGCUUAUUAAAGCAAUUUAUAAUUAUUUUAUUACUAGUUCUGGACACGUGCUUUGCAUGUGUAUAUUACACGUUUAGUCACGAUUGUAAGAGGGUGUACACCAGGAUCAUUCGAAGAGCAAAGUCGUGUGAGCCUUACAGAUAUUCUUGACGUACUCCUAUUAAAAUCUGUAUCAUAUUCGUAACUUUUUGAAUGAGGUUCACCUUUUUCCUCAUUGUACUUUGUACAUGGAUGUUGUCCAUCACAAUAUCCCCUUUUUCAAAUUUCAUAGCUGAACUACUAGGUGUACGAGUUCCUACCAGAACUACUACCAACUAUUUAUCAAAACACACAUCAACUAUAUAUGAGUUGUUCCCUUUUACUAGUGGUGACAAAUAGGUGGAUUUGGACGGGACUGAAAAUGGAUUGAGCAACAUGGUCGUAACUCACUUAAUCUCUUAAAGCCAGAAAACUUUAAAGAGUUAAUUGAAAUAAACUUAAUGACUAUCCUACUUGAAGUAUCACCGUCGUUCAGGUAAGAAAAAGGAAGUAUAUCAAGGAAGAAGAUGUCUUACAAAGCCUGAUGGAUAUGGACCUCGAUAGAACCUCCAUAGUUGUCUUGAAUGUCCUGUUGAAUCUGCUUUGCGGAAUUCCCAACAGAUUCUGGGCAGUUUCUUAUAUAGAUUAGAGCAAGUGUGGUUAUAUCUGCAAAAUCUUGAGGGAUUGAGUCCAAAAACCUGCAACUAUCAAGAAAUAGUCGUUCAAGGCACGGAAAGUGAUCACAACUAGCUCUCCAGUACUGAAUAUGUGAUCUUUUAAGUAACAAGAACUUCAAAAAAGGAAACCCUUCCUCAGCUACUUCCCACUCCCUGCCUCUGCAUACACCCUGUGUUAGUUCAAGAAGUUCAAGUUUGGGCAAUUUUCCGACAACAAUGCUUAAAUCCUUCCAUGACAAGAAGAAAUUUCCUGUAAAAGUUAAAUUCUUAAGGUUUCGUGGAAAAGCAUCUGGAGGAGGUAAGAUCAAAGAUGGAACAACUUCUACAACAAGUGGAUUCCUUGUCUGAAAACACAUUCUCCUCUCCAAAAAGUAAGCAUUAUUUUGAGGAGGAAGACAAAAUGCUAGUUCCUCGAGAUGAUCUAAGUAGCGAAAAUCAUAGAGGUCUUUGUGACUAUGGAAGUCUUGUGGGAUGCCACGUACUUGCAACUCCUUUAAAUUGGGAAAUAGUCUAAAGAAAGAUGCAGUACAAUAGCUAGGAUUCCAUCCAAACAGAGAAUGUAAAUUUUUCAUAACCAAACUUUUCUCUGUAAGCUCAUGAUAUCGCAAGUAAUUCCGAUCCAAAUGAAGGUGCCUCAACUGUGGCAUUGUCAAAAUAUCUGAUGGUAAUAUCAAAGCAUGUUUACGAAGAUUAAUGACGAGUGGAAGGUAAAGUACCAAACUUUGCAGAUAGCAUAGGUUUGAUAUGGAUGUAGGAAUGUCUACUCUUGAUGAGAGAACAUCUUCUUCGGAUCCUAGAUAUUGCUCAACGUUAGGAUAAAUACGCAAAGCUAGGUGUCUUAAGUGAAUCAAAUAAAGUAUUUCACGGGGAAAAGUUAGACAGAUAUUAUCAGCAAGAUCUAGAACUCUUACUAGCUUGAACGGCAAGUACUCCCUCAUGCAACAUCGGAAUCUACCAAAUAAGAUAACAGAAUGAGCUUCACUGUUAAGGCACCUAACAUACUCUUUCUUAUUAUGGAUGCUGAUUCGACUUCGACUCUUAGACAAACACUGCAUGGAUUUCACAUAUGAAUUUUGAUCAUUCUUUCUUCUGAGAACAUUCACAAAAUUCAUGUUACGAGCUUCCAUCAAACAGAGUUCACGAGUCAUAUCAUGAAUUCCACAACACUUAAUUUUUCCAUCAAAAGUAGUACUUUUAAUGGAAAUUAAACUUCUAUCAAUAAGAUCUUGUAGGUACUUUUCUGCCACUUCUUCUAUGCUUUUCAUCUCUUCUACCUUCAAAAAUCCCUCUGUUUCCCACAAUAUCAUAAGUUUAUUGACAAAAAUCAGUUUAUCCUCUGGGAAGAUUGCGAAAUAUAAAAAGCAUGGUUUUAGGUGGUGAGGCAAGUAAUGGUAACUCAUUGCCAACACCCUCAUGCAUUGGACACCAACAUCUGUGCUUACUGCUGAACUUACAUUUUCAGCAACACUUUGCCACUCACUCAAUGCUUUGUCAAUUUUAGUGAGAAGUCCCGCGAUCACAACAAUUGCUAGAGGCAAUCCUCCGCAUUUCAAUGCAAUUUGCUUUCCAAGUUGUUCAUAUUCAGGGGAGAAAGAGUCUUUCGUAAAGACUUUUUCAUAUAAUAAAUUCCAACUUUCGUCAAAAUUCAUGAGGCGCAUGUGAUGAGGAAGCUUACCUGAGCUAGCAUAUUCAGCCACUUCCACAUUCCGAGUAGUCAAGAGUAUUCGGCUUCCAUUAUGAAAGUCUGGGAAACAUAUUUGUAUAUCAUCCCAAGCUUUUGUAGUCCAUAUGUCAUCAAUGACUACCAAAUAUCUCUUGCCUUUUAGAAGCUUUUGCAGUCGAUCUGCUAGUUGCCCGUCAUGUAGCUGAUCAUAAGGUUUAUCACUUAUACAAGAAAGAAGGUCUAGGAAAACAUUUCUCACACAAUACUCUUGUGAAACAGUAGCUUUUGCACGUAUGUCAAAGCGAUACAUCAUGCAUGGAUCGUUGUAGAGUUUUGUUGCCAAAGUUGUCUUGCCAAUGCCUCCCAUACCUACAAUUGAUACAACUUCUAGUUCUCUUUCUCCUCUAGCAAGUUGAUCCAGCAUCAUCUUGAAUUCAUUUUCAUAGCCAACCAUUAUAACCUCGGACCGCUCAACAGCAAGUUCAGGUAUCUUGGAUAGACAGAAAUUUUGUGCUUUGAAAUCUUUAAUGUUGUUGUACCAGUCCCAUAUUGCCAACCACUGCAUCAUGAAGGAAUCAAUACAUUCUACCUCUUGUUCCAAGGAACAACAGAGUUCCCAGAAAGCUUUGCUUCGUGUAAUUACAGUUUCUGCAGAAGAAACUUUUCUUGAUUUCGAAUCAACCAUGUCUUCUGCUUUGAAUGCUACCUCCGUGAUUUCAACUUCCAAGGUUGUUAACCCCUCAUGAUCGCCCGUUAUAUUGCAGGAUUUCUCUAGAAUAGCUCUCAAAGAUUCGAGCUUUUCAUAAAACGGUUGCAAAUCACAUCCAUUAAGUUCCAUUGAUUGGUGUAUGGUUCUCAUAAGGGAAGUAACAGCAGCAUAAGCCAUAUAUCCAAAAAAUAGGAAUCUCUCACUCUCAGUAUGAAAAUGGACAAAUUAAUUGCCACAAGUUAUGUAAUCUUUCUUUUACUAACUAUUUCCAUCACAUUUCUAGCUAGGUCCACUAACAGGAUAAAGUAGAAAGAUGUGAGGUCACUAACCUUAUCAUCAUGAAGACAAAAGAAGAGACCAAAGUUAAAAAAAAAAAAAGACGAAAAAGUAGAAAAAAUUGUGAUCAUUCAUUAUUAGACCCUACACUAAUCUCUUCAGAAAAAUAAAAUAAAAUUUUAGUUUAAAUAAAGGAAUUCAAGCUGUAUAUUGAUAACGUCCAAUUCAAAUUCAAGUGUAGUACGGUCUAGCAAUAAUAAACUCAACAAAAGUUGGAGUCGAGGAGUACGCUUGUGUCAAGGUGACAGAGAGUGUGCGAAUUUGCUAACAAACAAAAGGUCUUUCUUUUAGCUAGGUCCAUAAUCCAUGUAGUGCUCUAUACUCUCUAGUCUCUAUCAACCAGCUCAAGUUUAAGGGUGUGUUUGGUAUGGAGGAAACAUUUUCUCUAGAAUAGGGAGAGAUUUGUGCAUAAACAAGGAAGAAUCUCUCAGUAUAACAGUGAAUGGGUAUUUUUUUAAGAUUUGCUUCUUUUGUGUAUGACUUUUGUAAGAAACAUUCUGGUAAAAGUUAAAAAAAAUGAUCUUGUGGAAUAGCCACAGUGAAUUCCUUAAUAUUCGAGUAGAAAAAGCCAGAGAGGAUAACAUUGCUAUUUGUACACUUAUCGUGACACGAGUAGUCUCUUAAAUAUUACACCUUUCUACUGAUGUUGCUGAUGCCACUGGAUUUAGCCUUCCGUCUUCCUUUGCAAGGUAGAUCGAGGACUCCCAAGAAAGGAAACACAAGUUACUGGAGUCUGUUCUGGCCUAUACAGUAUGUAUGUACAUAAAAUUUGGAGUAUCUAAAAACCACUGACAAAUGGCUAUACGAAAGAUCAUAUACAAUUAAAUUACAAGCCAUUUGCAAUCAUCCUGCCCCUUUAUGCAGAAUCUUUUCAAAGAAAAUGAAAACGAACAAAACAAACACUCACACAUUUGGCUUCUGAUUUGACAUUUAUUUCAGAGAACUGGCUAGUCGCUGCAGGAAAAAAAAAGACGCAAAAAAUGGAAAAUAAUAUGUUAGAUGUCCCAUAAUUAAGGAACAAGAGAACAUUAUAGCAAGAAUGAGCAUGCAGGUAUAAGAACUUACACAUUAUUGCGGCAAGAAGCAACUUCUUUCUCAAAGUCAUCAUCAUCAUCUUCAUCUGUUGUUACACUAUCGAAAAUGCUAGCUACAAAAGAUGAAAAAUGAAAUGUUACACUUCCCAAAAUCAAGAAUGAGCAUGCAAGUAUAACAAGUUACACAAUAUUGGAAGGAUUCGAAUCAAUCACAAUGACAGCAUCAAGAACUUUUGUUGAAUUGGUGUAAUUUGACUUACUAAAGCUAUUAUCCAGAUUAUUAUCGAGUUUACUAUAAUGAUGAGUUAAAUAUUGUUGUAAAUCAAGGAAGAAGAUGUCUUACUAAAGAUUACGAGUAUGGACCUCGAUAGAGCUUCCAUAGUUGUCUUGAAUGUCCUGUUGAAUUUGCUUGGCGGAAUUCCCAACAGAUUGUUGACAGUAAUGUAUAUCAAUAAGAGCUAGUGUGGUUAUAUCUGCAAAAUCUCGAGGGAUUGAAUCCAAAUACUCGCAAUUUCUAAGAAAAAGUCGUUCAAGGUACGGAAAGUGAUCACUACUAGCUCUCCAGUACCGAAUGUAUAUUUGAUCCAGAAACAAGAACUUCAAGUGAGGAAACCCUUCCUCAACUACUUCCCACUCCUCGCCUAUGACGGCAUUGUGUGAUAGUUUAAGGACCUCGAGUUUGGGUAAUUUACCAACAAUGCUCAAAUCCUUCCAUGCCAAAAGGAAAUCUCCUCUAAAAGUUAAACUCUGGAAAAGAUUAAUUAACAAAAAUUUAUGGUACUAAUUGGGGUAUUAAUUAACAUAUCCUUACUUGAUCACAUAUGUAUUGUUCUGUGUGAAAUUUUCCUCUGACUGAUAGUUGACUAAAUUAUAUUGCAUACGUUCGUGUACAUUUUCUCACUUGGAAGAGUGGAUUUGGACGUAAUUAACUAUCACCAUCGUUUAGGUAGAAAAAAGAAAAUAACUAAUAGUUGAAUGUUUUAAUACAUAGAUGAUCAACUAAUAUGAGAAGAAAAGAGUAGCGUAAAUGUGAGAUUCACUUCUCACCAAGAAUCCUCCUUUCUUAUUAUUUUCCUUUUAGAGGUUAAUAAUUAUUAAGUAUCCCUAGAAUAAUUUAUUGAAAAAGUAGAUUUGAAAGAAAGCAAUUACUCUCUUCUUCCUAUGCGGGACUUCUUGAACAUAACUAAUUUGACAAAAACCACAAUUUUAUUUAUUUUUAGGUGGAAUUAUAUCAAUAAGGAACUAUAUAUGCUUAUGAUAUUAAUCUAAGACCAUUAUUUGUUACUUGAACACAUGGAUUCAUCAUCUGAACAAUUGAAACAAUUAAUACUUGUGUGAACCUUUUUUUAUUUCGAGUGAUGUGUCAUAAUCAUUAGCCAACUAAGACUAGCGUUAAAUUUUUGGUAAGUCUCAAGAAGUGUAAUUAAUACUUAAUAAAAUAAUCUCAUCCUUGAGAUUCAAGAACUUGUUUGGAUUGAAUAGGUUUUUAUCAUCAAGAUCUAGAACAAAGUCUUAAUAUUAGUAAGAGGUAUUUUUGUGUGAAAAGUUUUCUUUGAGGUUCGAGAAAUGGAAUAGAUAUGGACUACAAGUUGAUAUUUCCCAUUGGAAAAUUCACACAAAAAGGAACAAGGAAUUCUCAAUGAAAAAAGCGCUCUCCAAAUCUGUUUAGUAUUUGUCAUGAGGUUCUUAUCAUAAUUGGAUUUUCCUUUUAGGAAAAGGUAAACACAGUCUCCAUAUUUGUCUAGUUCUUUUUCUUGUAGGAAAAAAAUUAUGACUCUAUAAAUAGAUGUUUUGUAACAUCCGACAAUUUGAAAUAGCUAAGAAGAGGCUUGAAAUUUGGAAAUUUUCAAUUUUUGGAAAGGAUUUGAAAAUCUGGAAAAUUUGGCUAAGUAUGGGAAAGGUGAGUUUUUUUGGGCCCAAACUUUGAACAACCAUAAAUUCUAGCUCAGGAUGAGUUAGGUGGAGUUCCGGUUAUGUUUGCAUAGCCCUCGGAACGACCUUUCCAACGCCACUGAGUUUGCUCAAUUCUGAGUUCGUAUGAGCGAGUUAUGGCCAUUGAAAGUUGGGCAGUUGGCAGGGAAUCCGUCCGGAAAAUUAAGGGCAUUUUAGUCUUUUCCCUAGCCAAUUCUUUUGGGAUUAUAUUGUUGUAUAGGGCUGAUCUUUAGAUCAUUUUGUCCCAUUUUAAGAAAUUAAAAUCUAGGGCUUGAGAGUGAAGAAGAGAAGAAGGAGAAGAAGAAGAGAAAAAUCGAGGAGAUCAACAAGUUUCCGACAAGAUCAUCGUGAAUGUUCGUCGGGGGUGAUCCCUAUCAAGGUAUGUGAGCUUUUAGUGUUGGGUGAUACUUUCCCCCACACACCUAGCCCCUUUUAUUUAUUAAGGAAGGAUUGGUUAUGUUGUUAAAGUUGUUAGUUGUUGUGGUUGAAGUUGUUGGAGUUGUUAAAGUUGUUAGUUGUUGUUGUUGGAAUUAUUGUUGGUGGUGGGACAUAAUUGAGUUGUGUUUUUAUGUUGAAAUCUAUUGAAUGUUGAGGGAUUUUAUGUUUCUAAGUGAUUGGGGGCUGGAAUCUUUGAGGUUAGAGGGUUUAGAGUUGGUAACGUGAAGGAGAAAGUCGGGUAGCUUGCGAGGAGCAUGUCUGCGUCGCGGACUUGUUCCUCUGUGAACAAAAAAUCUUCUCCGCGUCGCGGACAGGACGCAGACUCCACUGUUUUCAGAAUUUAUGUUCGAAGAUUUUCUUAGGUUUGGCUGUCCCAAAUCAUUCGCAAAUCAUUCCUAAACAUCAUGAGACCCUUCCAAACACCAAUCAAGUCCUUGAAUCCAUAAUCCAAUUCAAGGUGAGUUAUGAUCAAGUCAAGUGAAGUUAGUUUUCAAGUCAAGUGAAGUUAGAAGUCAAGUGAAGUUAGAGCCAAGCUUAGAAGUUAAGCAAGUCAAAGCAAGUCUUUAAAGCUUUUCAAGAGUCUUCAUUGAACGUUUUGACUUCAUUCUAAGGCUCAAGUUCCAAGUUAAGUAUAGAGUUUCAAGUCAAGCAAAGAGUCUCAAGUUUCAAGUUAAGUAAAGAGUAUCGAGUUUCAAUUUAAGUCAUAAUUUUUCAGUCAAGAGUCAAGAGUUGAGUUCAAUUCUCAAAAGUAAUUAGGGAACUAAGUAUUUCCCAAAGAAGUUUUAUAAGUGUUUUCACAUUUAAGUUGAGAGGAAACGGAGAUUUCCAAAAGAGUUUUGAGAAGUUUGAGCACUAUCUCUUUUAAAAGAAAAGAUGAGUUUUUGAAAAAGAGUUUCUAAAUUAUGAUUAGUAUGACAAAUGGAGUAUGUCAUCAAUGUUUAAACAGUAUGGUCUCUAGAUAUACCAUCAAUGUUUAAGCAGUAUGAAUAUCCCGAGUCAUCAAUGAUCAUAAAAAAAAAAAAUGUGGUUUUGACUUGUUCUAUUUAGAAAGAGUUUUCAAGUGCCUUCGGGCUAAGUUUUGAGUAAUUAUCUCAACUAAAGAAAGAUGUGCUUAAAACACUUAUGAGCUAAAGUAUUUUGGGAGUAGUAUCGAGCACCGAAUUGGGGAAACGAGUUCAUAUUAAACUCAACUCUCCAUAAGAACCAUGUAGCCAAACAUGGGAUUUCUCGGAUCAUACUUUUUAGAUGAUCACGAAAGUUAAGCUAGUGGAUCCAUUAAGCAAAAGUUAAAGUAAGGUCCUAUAUCGAUGGCAAGGUAUAGGAUGGUCCUUGGGCAACGUGAGGUAAAACGUUGUAUCACCACUCAGAUUCAUAGUGGUGGUUUGUCGGUUAGAGAAGCUCCCACAGUAGAAAGAGCAUGGUUCCUCGAGGGUUCUGCUUAGUAUGGAUGGGGGUAUGGGACUUCAUUCAUGCAUUGCACAAGUAGACUUUGAGAGGAAGCAUGGUAUUUUUAUGAUAUUAUAAAUAUGAUUUUUACGUCAUGUUUUAAUAGUUUCAAAAGCUUUAUAUAUAUUGCAUGUGUCUCAUUGCUUUAUAUUAAGUUCAGUUAUUCUUGAGUUGUACAGAGCCAAGGUAAGUUCUCUUUUGUAUCCCUUUUCAAGCUUAAGUUGUUGUUUAGCGGUCCAGCUCGCAUACUCGUACAUUCCAUGUACUGAUGCCAGUUGGCCUGCAUCUUAUGACGAUGCAGACACNNNNNNNNNNNNNNNNNNNNNNNNNNNNNNNNNNNNNNNNNNNNNNNNNNNNNNNNNNNNNNNNNNNNNNNNNNNNNNNNNNNNNNNNNNNNNNNNNNNNNNNNNNCAGUCAGUUAGUUUUGAGUCUCUCAUCUAUGUAUAUAUGUAAAUAUUCUAUUUUGAGACUCGAGUGGCCUUUUUGGCCAGAUGUGUAUCAUUUAAGUUGUUUAUGUCUUUGCAUGGCAUUGAGUUAUUCUGUUGAGUAGGUUUCCGCUGAGUUAAGAAAGCCAGGCCAAGGGUUCGCUUGGGGCCAGCAAUGGUCUCUGAGUGCCGGUCCCGCCCAGGGUGUAGGCUCGGGGCGUGACAUGUUUAUUCAUUCUAGCUUGGUAGCAUUCAUAAUGCAAUCCUAGGGGGCUUUGAGAGUUUUGUGUAUUGUGUGAAGCUAGAGGAAGAAUGUAUGAGACACAAGUAUUACUUUAACACUUGUGUGAACCUCUUUGUAUUCAGAGUGAAUUGUGUGAGGUUAUUCUUCUCUAGAUUUUAUAGUGAUUUUUUCAUCUCCUCUUGUGGAUGUAGAUCGGUUGACCGAACCACGAUAAAUGUUUGUGUCUUUUGAUAUAUUUCUUGUUUGUCUUAUUACUCAUCGUCUUUCAAGGUUUGCUUUGCUAGCUUUUGCAUGACACCUAAUUAUUUCAGUCCCAACAAGUGACAUCAGAGUCAGGUUCAAUGGUUUAAUGAUUCAAUGGUCGAACCAUGUUAAAAAUAAGUGUUCAUCUUGACGGGUUUAGUUCUAGCCGUAACAUAUUUGACAGUAAUGAAGAUUUUUGUUGGAGAAAUAUUUUCAAAGAUGUUUUCUGUGUUGAUAUAUAUAUAUAUAUAUAUAUAUAUAGAUUUUGCAGAGGAGAUGCAAGGUAUUGAAGAUUAUGUGAAGAAGGUGGAUCAAAUUUAUUUUGUCAGAAAUUUAGGCCAAUGGAGAUAUUUGUUUAGUAUUUGUCAUGAAUUUCUUAUCAUAAUUGGGUUUUUUCUUUUAGAAAAAGGAAACCACAAAGUUUCCAUAUUUGGCUAGUUCUUUUUCUUGUAGGAAAAUGUUUGACUCUAAAAUUAUAUGUGUAUUCCUUCUAGCCUAAUAGCAUUUACAAUGUAGUCCUAAGGGGCAUAGAGAGUUUUGUGUAUUGCGUGUAGCUAGGGGGAGAAUGUGUGAGACACAAGUGUUACUUUAACACUUGUGUAAACCUCUUUGUUUUUCCAUUGAAUUGUGUAAGGUUAUUCCUCUCAAUAUUUUGUACUUUCUUUUAUAUAGUGAAUUGCUCAUAUCCUCUUUUGGAUGUAGGUCGGUUGUCCGAACUACGUUGAAUAUUUAUGUCUUUUGGUAUAUUUUUCGUUUGUAUUAUUACUCAUGGUCUUUCAAAAUUUGCUUUGCUAGCUUUUGCCUGAUACCUAAUAAUUUCAGUCCCAACAAAACCAAACGUGAAAGUUGUUUUCCAGCAGACAACUUUUCUAGUAGCUCUACUCUCGACUUGGAUAAUUUAACCAAAAAGGUACGCUUUCGGCCAUUCUACAUGCUGCCUAUGUAGAGACAUGUUUAUCUAAAGUGGAUUCUCUUUUUUGUAGUAGGUAUCAAACCUGUUAUGCCCAUUGACUAAGAAGCUAGGGGUGGACACAACAACUACAUGGACCUCUUUCUUACAUCGGCCAUCACUAUUAAUCGUCUUUGUUAUCACAAUGACCACCACUAUUACCGUCAUCAAACAUCUCUGUCCUCACAAUUACCAUUAUUAUCAACCACUACUAUAUAUCAAACAUUUGCUAUAUUUAUGUUUUUUAUUGACAUAAACAAUGGGUUAACAUGAUAUAAUUUAUUAGUAGUUUUAUAUAUUUUUCUUAUAAUAAAGGAAACAAUCACUUAUACAUUCUUUGAGAUCAUUUAGUUUAAAAUCAGGAGUGGAAUCAUAACUAGGGUUAUAGCUUAGCAUCAAUUCACCUUCUUAAUUAAUGGGAUAAUUUAAUUAGCUAAAUUUGAAUGAAAAGAAGAAGAAAUUGAUUAAUUUAAUUCGUUUACGUUCCAAUGGGGUGUGCAAUAUCCAUAAAUUUGUCAUGUCGUUAUUAGGUGUUCAUGAGAUGCACAUAUUCCAAGCAAAAGUACCUAUUUGAUCACUAGAUGAGUUUAAGUAUUCAAUUUACAAAUUCUGCCAAAUUUGAGGGACUAUCUAGGUAUUAUUUAGAUAAAAUUAUUUGUAUAGUCCACUCUAAACAUACUUAUAAUUAAGCAAGUAACAUAUACUAUAUAAAGAAGCUUCUAGAGAUAAUUAAAGUUAACUCUAUAUAAUUAGAGUUGCAAUAACAAAUACGUCAAAACAUUAAAGUGUUUCACCAAUAAAGUCAUUUUUUUAAUGUCCAAAACUAAUCCAAUGGAAGCUCUAUUAUGUGGAACACCAGAAGAAGUUUCAGUAUUGUUGGUACAUCAUGAAGUAGAAUUUCUUACUAAUCAGACUGUUAAAUUGUUAGAGGCUUAUAAAUACAAAGGUGACAUUCUAGAAUUUUUUUAACUUUUUUGUUUCUUUGAUAUAAUAACUAAAUGCCGUGUGACAUUUUUUUUUAUAUAUAGAGAGAGAUUGAAAUGAUAUGCUUUUUGUUAUCUCAUUUAUGAUUUUAGCAUCGUCCAUUUUUAAAUUUCAUUUAUCUUGUAAAUCUUGAACUUUUCUUUUUCCUUGUUAUCAUAGCACUUUUUAAUUUUUACAAAUUUAUCUAUCCUCGAAGAAAAAUAAUUCUACAUUAGUGAUGGAUGCACAAGAAAUUAGGAUGACGGGAGGGAAGAGAAAGAGCACGAAAAAGACAUGAUAAGAGAUGAUCUGUCUAUCAUUAUUACUUGAGAUAAUAUUUUUUUGUCUUUUAUUGGAUGUAUAAAAAAAAAUGAGGAGAUCUAAUUUUCAUUAAAAAAACAUUUCCCUUUCUAUUUUUUGUUUUUGUUUUUCGUUGGACGUAGACAAAAAAUUGGCAACUCCUUUCUUAUACUUUGUUAGAUCAUCUAAUUACAUAUCUAUGAAAUAAAAUUACCUCAAAACAUUUUAUCCUAUUAUCUUUUGCUUUAAUAUUUAUUUGUUUUUGACAAGCCAUAAAUAAAUUGGAAUAGUUUUUAGAAAUAUAUUCUUUAGGAUCUUCUCUAGUUUUUAGUAAUCCAAUUAACGAAAAAAAAAAACUAAUAUAUACUUUUUAUGUAACCAAUCUAGUUAAGAUUGCACUCAUCAUUUAUAAUAUAAGUUGAUUAAUAUGUGUUAUUUUAAAAAUUAAAGUGCAGAAAUAUAACAUGAAAAUUCACAGUUGAAUUUGAAUAACAAACAAACAUAUCCAAAUGAUACCUUUGUGUACAAUAUUUUUUUUUUCAUAAUUUUCACUGAUUUCAAAUUGCACGGGUAUAUGUAGUUACGGAAGUUAUGGCUCCUGCGGCAAUGUCAAUGCUUUUCAAAGAAAAGAAAAAAAUUGAUGCAAUGAUAAUCAAGGUCAUUUCACCGGAUUCACAUUGCUUUGAGCUCCUGGCACAAGCUGUAACCUUGAACAUCAUCGUAGUAAGUAAGUAUUUAUAAUUCUAUCUUCCACUUAUUAUUAUAGACGGUAAAGUAAGUUUUUUUAAUUAACUAUUGCAUAAUGUAUAUAAUAUUAUUCAAUUUUAAUUGCUAUCUUCUUGAUAUAAUUAUGCAGUUGUCUAUGAUGAACUCAAUGAAUUCUUAGUGAAGAAAGCUUUGGACAAUGGAGCUUACAUUUGCUCGAAGAAGCCUCUUGUCGAGCAAACUAUGACAUUCUUGUGGCAAUUUGUAUGGAGGGAGAAAACACAAAGAGGGAAAUCAAUAAAAAGAGUAGAAACAAAGGGAGAUCAUAUUUUUGUUUGAAGUUAUUGGAGUUCUGAGAAAACAAUAGGUCGUGGUUUUUUCCUCCCUUGAGCAAAGAGGUUUCCACGUUAACAUAUGUGUUCUUACUUUAAGCAUUUAGAUUACUUCUUGUUAUCAGUAUAGUCAAGUGGUCAGAACACGAGAAGACAUGUCACUAAACAACAACAUAUAUAGGAAAAAACAAACUCUGCUAAGUGAUCGAUCCGUGUGUGAUAGUUGCCUUCUUAACCUUGAACUAUUGCUUCCUGCUAGAUUAUAUGAACUUAGAUAUGUAUACAAAUUAGUAUUCAAUGAGUUCCCAAACAUUCGUGCAUAAACAAUUUCCCCUGUUGUCGUGCCACCAGGACUUAGCAUAUGUUCUGUAUUUGUAUAAUUUCGAUGAUGAUCAUGAGAUUGCUGGGAUAAUGGAGGCAUAUUAUUAUUGUGUAUUAGACCGUGACUCCUACAUCUCGAACUAGGAGGUCUUUGUGGUAUGACUAUACCAAAAUUCUAUACCAAAAUUCGGGGCCUUAAUUUCAGAUGUUUUUGUAGCUUGACAGCGACCAUAGAGUGGAAUCAAUGUUUUUUGUGAGACUUCAGCUUUGCAAACAGGGCAAUUUGGUUGUUGGUUAUCGAUGUUCUCUGAUGAAAUGGUCUUAAAAUGUAUCCAUUUGUAGAUGCAAGGCCAACAAUAGGAGGUGACCACAUAAUGUAACAACAGGAUCAUGUACAACAUCUAGGCAAAUGUUGCACUCGAAACCUCCAGGUGAAUUUUCUUCAAGUUUAUCAAGAUCAAUUGUCUCCAUUUUUCAAAGGAAAUAUCGCGUUGAUCAAAGGUAGUUUCUGCUAUUUGGUCUUGAAAAAUUUGUUCUAAGGCCAUAUUUGCCUCUUGGUAUUGAAUUAUUUUGGUAAUGGCAAGAUGAAGAAUGGUUAGAAUUCAGGUUUUUAAUACAAUUAGAAGUGAGUAUUUAUAAGGACAAAGAAUAGUAGUUUGCAAACAAUGAUUCUUAAGGUUGUCACUUGUCAACAUCACAUUAUGUUAAAGGGGCAUGGCCAAAAAGAAAAGGCCCUACACAUUAUUAAACAACACUAUAUCAUAUUACUCAACAGUCUUGAUUUAUGGGGUAUUGUUUGAUUUGAUAUAACAUUUAAUAAGAAAAUGAAGACUUUUAAAAUAUGUACUGUAUUAAAGAUAAAAAAUAAAUUUUAAGUUUUUCGAUCCUAGAAAUGAUAUUCUUUUUAUAUUAAGACUAAAACAAAUGUUUUACAUAAAUUAAGAUAGAUGAACUAUCAAACACAUCAUAAUUAAGUGAUUUAAUGAAGUCAAAAAUAAAUAUUAAUGGAUCAUGGUUAAGUGAGAGGAGUUUUGUGCAAACACGUCUUUUAUCUAUCUAUUUGAUUUAAACAAGCAUAAGUUUUAUCAUAUUAGAAAUAUGAUUAGGACCUUAUAUUAGGCCCCAUGAUAGGAAUCUUAAUCUAGAAAAUAACUUUUAGUCAAUAAAAAGUAGCACUAGUUGCGUACAAGGAGCUACCACUUGAUGACCUUCCACACUUCCACAUCCCAUAAGUUCAAUAGUUUUCACACUAUAAGAACUAGAUGUUUUUUUCCGCGUGAAUCAAUAAAAUUUUUAGUUUUAUGUUAUAAAACAUGAUUUUUUUCAUUUUGAUUUUAUUAAACUAAUUCACUAAGAAAAUUCAUAACGAAACAUAAGUUCUCAUUGAAAUACUGGAAAUAGUCACUUGGAAAUUUAUGAGUUUUAGGAAAUUAUGCAUCAAAACUUAGAAAGACGCGGCUCAUAUAGAAAUUUGUUGUUAAAUCAUAAUAUAUACUUUUACAUCUGAAUAUCUUUAUUGAUUUGGUUAAAAUUAUAAUUAAAAAAAUUACAAUACAAUAUAUAUAGAUUCACAUAAAUUUAAUACUGUAAGUUCAAUUAUUAUUCAAUUAUUAUUAUGAUAUAUUAAUCUAAAAUUAUUAUAGAAGCUUCUAAACUCUAAAUUCAGAUCCAACUAAGGAGUGAAUAUACAUAGUGGGGGUCUGGGGGAUGGGAGAAAACAUAUGGACGGUGUGACAAAUAAAUAAAAGAAAUACUCCGUCCAUUCCAUUUGACUUAGUAUUGUUUGACUUAAUACGAUGUAUAAGAGAAAAAAAAGAUUUUAGAAAAUUAUAGGCUAAAACAAUUUUUAUAUAUUUAUAUAAUUGUAAAUCAUUUCAUUAAUUAAGGGUAGAUGGAGAAUUUUAAGUUUAAUUAUUUUCAAUUACAAUAAAAUGACAUUUUUAAAGACGGAUUAUGAGAAUAGAGUGCCACGUAAAAUAAAACGAGAAAAUACUACUCCCUCCUUCCCAUUUUAUAUGUUACCUUUUUACUUUACAUUUACAUUAAGAAAUAAUGUAACUUUACCCUUCUACCCUUAUUUAAUGUUUUCUUAAGUUAACUUUAUAACUCCCUCCGUCCCAUUUUAUAUGUCAUCUCUUUCUAUAAAUAGUUGGACCACAAUACUUGUCAUUUUAUAAAAUUUAUGUAUAAAUUACCAUAUUUUACCUAUUAUAUCCUUGAUAGAGUAGUUAAUUAAUCUUGAAAAUAUAUUCAUCAUUUAUUAUAAAUUGACUUAAGAAAAUAUUAAAUAAGAAUAGAAAGAUAAAAUUACAUCAUUUCUUAAUAAAAGUAUAAAGUAAAAAUGUGACGUAUAAAAUAGAACGGAGGGAGUACUACAAAAGAACGAGUCCGCACAUGCAUUAUACAAGUACUACAUGUGUCUCGAAUUUAGCAGCCUUUUGUCAACUUUUUAUAUUUUGGCUUACUUGGAAGCAAGUCUAUCCUCUCCUAUACAAUCAAUUAGGGUGGCCAUUAAUCAUAUAUUAUUAGGCUAAAGAUAACAUAUUGCUCCCUCCGUUUUUAAUUAUUUAUCCAUUUUUUUAGUUAUUCCUAAUUACUUGUCUAUUUUUACAAAUCAAGAAAGAACAAUUUUUUUUACCUAUUAUACCGUCAAUUUAUUACUUUGAAAAAAGUAGAACUUUUUGAAAAUCUUGAGUUUUUAAUUCAUCCACUUCAUAAUUAAUAUGGAUAAAAUGGUAAACUCACUAUUUCAAUAAUUGUUUUCUUAAUAGGUGUGCCAAUUCAAAAAUGGACAAGUAAUUAGGGAUAGAGAAAGUAUAUCGAAAUAAUAUAAUAAGAUAUUAUGCUAAAGAUAAUUAACAAAACUUUGAACAAUUAUAAAUAAGAUAGCAAAAAAAUCCAUAGUAAAUUAACAUGGUUCAACGAUUAGUGAUGGAAUCUGAAUAUGAUUCAGGAUUUUCACUAUUAAUGAAAUUCAAAAGGAAUAAUACAUAAAUGUGCCCUUUAACUUGACUUCAUUUUAUGUUUAUGUCCUUCAACUUUGGGUAUACACAAAUAUGCACCUAAACUUGUAUAAAGUUGAACAACUAGACACAUGAGUCCUACAUGACACAAUACACAUAAGAUACCACGUAGGAUAAAAAAUGCCAUGUAGGACAUGUGUGUCUAUUUUUUCAACUUUAUACAAAUUUAAAUAUCUACUUGUGCACACCCAAAGUUGAAGGGCAUAAAUGUGAUUUGAAGCCAAGUUAAAGGGUAUAUUUAUGUAUUAUGCCUAUUCAAAAUAUGAAUAAAUAAACAUAUAAAUUAGCUGACUACAAUAAUAGACAGAUAAAAAAUAAUUUUAACUAUAUGUAUAAAUAAUAUAAUUUUUCAUCGAAAGAGGUUCAUCUGAUUCCUCACUACUUUCUCUCAUUCAAAACUAAGCAAUAUGAGACUUUCAUGUCACAUGGAACCCUUUUUUUUUUUUUUGGAAAUCUCAGUAGUUCAGUUAAUUGACUGACUAUCUGAAUUCUCGAUUUCCCAUGUUGUAAUCCUCUACCCCAAUUUUUUUAUUACCUUCCUCACAUAUGUAUAAGACCGAAUCCAAAUAUCUAAGAUGAGAGAAUUUUGGGAGAGCCACCGACUCCAACUACUGCCAUAUAUUAUCCAUAUUAGAUUUGACCAACUAUCCAUCCUACCCUCCUCUACGUUCUUGACAACCCAUUUUUGUCUUAGUCAAGUCUUUUAGUGGCACGUUUUGAUCCUCUUUUCAAUUACUUAGAAAAAGUGAGUUAUUAUUCAGAUACAAAAUACUAUCAUUAUCGCCUAAAAAAUUAGACAUUCAACCCGUAAUCACAAUGAUCCAAUUACAAAAGCUCCGAACCCCCUAGGUCUAGACUGGCU